This 1188-nucleotide unclassified non-coding RNA is filed under the name Hevea brasiliensis (rubber tree). Lineage: Eukaryota; Viridiplantae; Streptophyta; Magnoliopsida; Malpighiales; Euphorbiaceae. The record is from RNAcentral.
UAGCUGUAAUGAGAGAACCAUUGCUUUUUUGGAGGAGUAUCAGAGUUUUUGGGCAUUAGAUUUCUAAAUCUGCACGAAAAUAUUUUCAGAGGUUGAACCCUACUCCUCACCCCUACAAUUACAAAACACCCUCAAAAAAUCCCUUUGUACAUUCUACUAAUGAUUCCUUAGCUGUCUUGUUUAUUUCCCAAUUUAAGUUGCAUUAGAGAUGAGAAACAACAAUUUUUGUUUCUAUACCUUUUACCUACAAGGGAUGACAGUGACAUCAAAACUUGAGCUAAAAUCAUAAUUCAACCAUCCUAUACAUAAAAACAAGACAGCUAAGGAAUCAUUAGUAGAAUGUACAAAAGGCACUCAAACCAAACACAAAACAGGGAACUCCACGCACACAUCAUCCAGGUGGUUGUCAAGGAGCCAUGAGGCAGAAAAACCUGGCACGGGCUGGUUUGUUAGAAUUUACUGUUCUGAUCUUUCAAGCUUCUUAACCGUACUGAUAGACAAUCCCUUCCCACUGGAAUCGGAUAAAGGGGGGAAAUCACCUUCAUCUUUCAACUGGUAUGACUGCAUCGCCAUCCUAUCCUGAUUGAUGGCCAAAACAGGUUUUGGCCCUUGCAUCCCUGGGGUUGCUUGGCUCACGCUAAAAUUGUGAGCUGGUGCAGAACCUGAGUUUGGCUGCCUACCAACUUCUGUCGAGGAGACACCAUGUGGUGGAUGUCCAAUUGACCCAAAUUCUACCAUCCUCUCUGACAUAUGCAUUGAACUGUUUAUAUUGGAGCAUUGUUUGGUUUCAGGAGAACCAGUGUGGCGAAGAUCUGAAGAUCCAAACUUUCCACCACCUUGGUGGAUAUGAAUUUGUGCUUGUGACAGCUCAUGGUCUCGGCAGUUUCUUUCUGGCAGACUUUUCUCCAGGGAAGUCACAACACGACCAUUGGAAUGAGGAGACCUUACUGGUGCUUGAUUCCUUCCCCCAGCUGUCAACUUCCUGUCCCUGUAAUGGUUCGUGUUGGGAAAGUAUGUCCCUGUUCCUCGAGGCUUUGGCAUUUCCUCCACACCAAAGGCUCCACCAGGUAGCAUGUGUGGGUUCGUGGGGUAAAAAACUGGUCUUGGUACAACACCAUUGACAUUCAUCUGGGAGACCACAUUCUGCCUAAACUGCAUUGACCGUCUUAUUACAUCCCAUGAAUUCUU